Clupea harengus (Atlantic herring) is the source of this 332-nucleotide long non-coding RNA. NCBI's taxonomy places the organism in Eukaryota, Metazoa, Chordata, Actinopteri, Clupeiformes, Clupeidae. The record is from Ensembl.
GUGUGUGUGUGUGUGUAGAUGAAUAUGAAGACUGUAAGGAGUGUGUGUGUGUGUGUGUGUGUAGAUGAAUAUGAAGACUGUAAGGUGAGUGUGUGUGUGUGUGUGUGUGGAUGAAUAUGAAGACUGUAAGGUGUGUGUGUGUGUGUGUGUGUGUGUGUAGAUGAAUAUGAAGACUGUAAGGUGAGUGUGUGUGUGUGUGUGUGGAUGAAUAUGAAGACUGUAAGGAGUGUGUGUGUGUGUGUAGAUGAAUAUGAAGACUGUAAGGUGUGUGUGUGUGUGUGUGUAGAUGAAUAUGAAGACUGUAAGGUGUGUGUGUGUGUGUGUGUGUAGAU